AGCAGUAGCCGCGGUAAUACGUAGGGGGCAAGCGUUGUCCGGAAUUAUUGGGCGUGAAGCGCGCGCAGGCGGUUCUUUAAGUCUGGUGUAUAAGUGCGGGGCUCAACCCCGUGAGGCACUGGAAACUGGGGAACUUGAGUGCAGAAGAGGAGAGCGGAAUUCCACGUGUAGCGGUGAAAUGCGUAGAGAUGUGGAGGAACACCAGUGGCGAAGGCGGCUCUCUGGACUGUAACUGACGCUGAGGCGCGAAAGCGUGGGGAGCAAACAGGAUUAGAUACCCCAGUAGUCCCUGUCUCUUAUACA
This 303-nucleotide ribosomal RNA is filed under the name uncultured bacterium. RNAcentral's name for it is "partial 16S ribosomal RNA". It matches the Rfam family "Bacterial small subunit ribosomal RNA", at positions 507 to 808 of the family's 1533-position model. The record is from RNAcentral.